AAGAAAAAGAAGGCUUAAAAUUUUUCACAACAUUCAAUUUUAGAGUACUGAUUGCUAUAUAGCCAGAAAUGGAUUUAGAUAAUGUGUUUUGUUUUUUUUUAUAACUCGGGGUGUCCGAAUCAGCUUAUAUGUACCACAACUAAUAUGCUGUUGAUUACUUCUUAGAUGGUCUUAUAGUGUUGAGAAGAAAAGGAAAGAGCAGUUUAAGGUUUUUAUUUCACUAAAUUUAUAGGUCCUCUAAAUCAAACUUCGUUGAUGAUUGACCAAGUAGUAGAAUUAUGAAGUUUCUGCUUUAAUUCAUGUUCUUAUGAAAUAAAAAAAAGAAGACAAACUUGAUUUAUUUUGUGUGAGAUAUUUUUUUUUCUUCCAUUUAAUUGGAUAUAUAUUUCUCAUGACUUUUCAGGCGAAAUGGGGUUUCGAUUGUUAUUCCAGCAUUCUCUCCGACUCCAUUCAUGAUGAUUUAGUGGCCUUGCUAUUCAAUUAAGAAUUUGUGAUUGGCUUUAUGUGUAAUAAGUAGGGAAGUAAAUAUUCUUGUAAGAGAAUCGACAAGAGGUUGUUCUUGCAAGUGGAAGUUCUCCUGAAGUUGUCAUCUCCACUCACAGAGGUUGCAAAGUUUCAUCUUUUGUAAUAUAAAACCAGUGAUGUUCCAUUUGAAUUGCAGGGUCUGUGGAGGGUUUUUUUGUUUUUUUUUUCCCUUCCUAAUUAGGUUUAGUUUUAUUGUCUGUAAUUCUGAGUAGAUUUUCCCAUCUCUAAGCAAAUGGGUGUGAAACAUUUUCUUUACGCUUUUGAUUUCACAGCAGUUUUCUUUUUGUGGAUACCGCGUUGUGAAUAAAUUAGUAUCGCAUGGAAGAAAAAAUUAAAAAAUUAACGGGAAUAAGAAUUUUUAAGUUCAAA
RNAcentral lists this long non-coding RNA (894 nucleotides) under Populus trichocarpa (black cottonwood). Its description in RNAcentral is "long non-coding RNA (PTRI_LNC004591)". The record is from RNAcentral. Lineage: Eukaryota; Viridiplantae; Streptophyta; Magnoliopsida; Malpighiales; Salicaceae.